UACGUAGGGAGCAAGCGUUGUCCGGAAUCAUUGGGCGUAAAGCGCGCGUAGGUGGCCUCAUAAGUCCGCUGUGAAAGUCAAAGGCUCAACCUUUGAAAGCCGGUGGAUACUGUGAGGCUAGAGUACGGAAGAGGCGAGUGGAAUUCCUGGUGUAGCGGUGAAAUGCGCAGAUAUCGGGAGGAACACCGGUGGCGAAGGCGGUUCUCUGGGCCUUACCUGACGCUGAGGAGCGAAAGCGUGGGGAGCGAACAGG
This 253-nucleotide ribosomal RNA is filed under the name uncultured bacterium. RNAcentral describes it as "partial 16S ribosomal RNA". It matches the Rfam family "Bacterial small subunit ribosomal RNA", at positions 524 to 776 of the family's 1533-position model. The record is from RNAcentral.